ACCUUCUAUUGAAUCAUUUAACAGCGGGCUCUCCCUGUUUACCCUAAAUCUAUUAUGCAGCAGUUUGAGACCUGCUUUUACAUCAAAAUUGAAGUACUUUGUAUUUGGCCAUAGUCAAUCCAUAAACUUUUAGGUUCUUACAUCAUCUGUUAGAUUUACAUAUUCCUUUGCUAUCUUGAUUUUGAUAUUAAUAACAUGUCUGUGUAAGUUC
Molecule: long non-coding RNA, 211 nt
Filed under: Bos taurus (domestic cattle)
Lineage: Eukaryota; Metazoa; Chordata; Mammalia; Artiodactyla; Bovidae
Description: long non-coding RNA NONBTAT018458
Source: RNAcentral